This 301-nucleotide ribosomal RNA is filed under the name uncultured bacterium. RNAcentral describes it as "partial 16S ribosomal RNA". It matches the Rfam family "Bacterial small subunit ribosomal RNA", at positions 509 to 807 of the family's 1533-position model. The record is from RNAcentral.
CAGCCGCCACGGGAAUACGUAGGGUGCGAGCGUUAAUCGGAAUUACUGGGCGUAAAGCGUGCGCAGGCGGUUGUGUAAGACAGGUGUGAAAUCCCCGGGCUUAACCUGAGAACCGCGCUUGUGACUGCACAGCUAGAGUAAGGCAGAGGGGGGUGGAAUUCCACGUGUAGCAGUGAAAUGCGUAGAGAUGUGGAGGAGCACCGAUGGCGAAGGCAGCCCCCUGGGCCAAUACUGACGCUCAUGCACGAAAGCGUGGGGAGCAAACAGGAUUAGAUACCCGUGUAGUCCCUGUCUCUUAUAC